Molecule: transfer RNA, 72 nt
Filed under: Ovis aries (sheep)
Lineage: Eukaryota; Metazoa; Chordata; Mammalia; Artiodactyla; Bovidae
Rfam family: tRNA
About the family: Transfer RNA (tRNA) molecules are approximately 80 nucleotides in length. Their secondary structure includes four short double-helical elements and three loops (D, anti-codon, and T loops). Further hydrogen bonds mediate the characteristic L-shaped molecular structure. tRNAs have two regions of fundamental functional importance: the anti-codon, which is responsible for specific mRNA codon recognition, and the 3' end, to which the tRNAs corresponding amino acid is attached (by aminoacyl-tRNA synthetases). tRNAs cope with the degeneracy of the genetic code in two manners: having more than one tRNA (with a specific anti-codon) for a particular amino acid; and 'wobble' base-pairing, i.e. permitting non-standard base-pairing at the 3rd anti-codon position.
Source: Rfam by way of RNAcentral
UCCCUAGUAGCUCAGUUGGUAAAGAAUCCGCCUGCAAUGCAGGAGACCCUGGUUUGAUUCCUGGGUGGGGAA